Molecule: long non-coding RNA, 800 nt
Filed under: Mytilus galloprovincialis (Mediterranean mussel)
Lineage: Eukaryota; Metazoa; Mollusca; Bivalvia; Mytilida; Mytilidae
Source: RNAcentral
GUUGUUACAUCCCAGCUCCUUUGUUCUAACAGGGGUGAUCUGAGCCGGAUCACCCCUACCAGAUCACCCCAGUUUGAGUUUCUUUGUUAUGCAUGCUUUCCUUUGUUCUGUAACAUUUUGGCGGGAAUGUCAAAUCCACUAUAAAACUUAUAAUUAAUUAUACAGAAAAGAAUAUCUAUGAAAAUUCACGUAGAAAAAAAUCCAGUAUAUACUGGGAAUCGAACUCAAGACCUUUAGCAUAUCAAGCCACGACACAUACCACUACACUAGGACGACUGGAUACGAAUUAACAGUAAUUAUACAUACUUAUAUCUAAUUAAAGGAAGCAAGAUCUUUUUAUAAGUAGGGCGAGUUGGCAGACCUUUAUUCAGUGGGGUUUAAACCUUUUUUGUUAAUAAGUGAGUUGUCAGGCUGACUGUUCAAUUUGAUUUUACACUUUUUCAAAGUGUGGCGAGUCGGAAAACAAGAUAGUGGUGAUUUUUUUAUAAAGUGGCGAUAUAGUAUGGGCCAAUUGGCAAGUGGGGCGAGUUGACAUUGUUUGAUAUCUACUCAUCGUGUUCGGGGGUCAUAAAGGGUAUACAUCAUGUAGUAAUAUAUAAAGUAUAUUAUAAUGGUUGUGUGGCGUUUUAAACUAGAUUUUUUGAAUUGUAAAUAGUUUUUCGUCUAAUUUAAAACAGCUGGGAUGUAAAAUAGUUAUCCCACUCGGACUUGGUGUGUCAGUGUUAGAUCACCCUCUGGCCUCCGGCCAUCGGGGUGAUCUUACACUGACACACCGCGUCCUUGAGGGAUAACUAUUAAUU